Hippoglossus stenolepis (Pacific halibut) is the source of this 546-nucleotide long non-coding RNA. RefSeq lists it as uncharacterized. The record is from RefSeq and is a predicted model, not a curated record. The transcript has 3 exons. Lineage: Eukaryota; Metazoa; Chordata; Actinopteri; Pleuronectiformes; Pleuronectidae.
UUCAAAUGAAAAACUUUCUUACUGUCCUCAAAGUUUUAAAUAUCUGUUCACCCUGUAUUUAUAGUGAUUGUCUCUCUGAUGGAAACAGGGUUUGAGCUGGAGACACUUUCCUGUGGAUUCAGACCGACGGAACCAGCUGUGGGAGUGGGCGUGGUUUCCAGUGUGAGACCCACCUGAGUGUCAGUGGGUGAAUCAGUGACUGGGAGUCUGUGGAGGAGUCACUGGUUCACUUCAGCUGCAUCUGGCUCUGCCUGCACUUCUCACUGGUUCUCAGGGAGAAUUAACAAAGACGUUUUUCUGGAAACGCAGGACAACGAUUUCUCUCCAGUUUUUCAGUUUCACCUUUUUUCUCCUUCGUGUGUUUUGAUAUAAACUUGUAGAUCAGAAACAACUCGAACCCUGUGGACUUCGUGUUUCUGCCUUUGGUAAGAUGUUGUGGAAUCAGCUGCUCAGGUUUGUGUGUGUGCUUCUCUCUCUGCACUGCGCUGCUGCUGCUUCAGGUUGUGAGGGAGACAAAUGUGACAAAGAUCAACCACCACCUCCUCC